Molecule: ribosomal RNA, 1509 nt
Filed under: uncultured bacterium
Lineage: Bacteria
Description: bacterial SSU rRNA
Rfam family: Bacterial small subunit ribosomal RNA
Source: RNAcentral
AGAGUUUGAUCAUGGCUCAGGAUGAACGCUAGCGGCAGGCUUAACACAUGCAAGUCGAGGGGCAGCAUGACGGUAGUUUACUACUGUUGAUGGCGACCGGCGCACGGGUGCGUAACGCGUAUACAACUUGCCCAUAACAGGGGAAUAACCUUGAGAAAUCGAGACUAAUACCCCAUAUGUAAUUAGGAGGCAUCUCUUUAUUAUGAAAGAUUUAUCGGUUAUGGAUAGGUAUGCGUGACAUUAGCUAGAAGGUAAGGUAACGGCUUACCAUGGCGACGAUGUCUAGGGGUUCUGAGAGGAAGGUCCCCCACACUGGUACUGAGACACGGACCAGACUUCCUACGGGAGGCAGCAGUGAGGAAUAUUUGGUCAAUGGGCGCCAAGCCUGAACCAGCCAUGCCGCCGUGCAGGAUGGACGGCUUCUUNUGAGUUUGUAAACUGCUUUUUGGUACGAGGGGUAAUAGCAUCCUACGUGUAGGUGUUUGAAAGUAUCGUACGAAUAAGGAUCGGCUAACUCCGUGCCAGCAGCCGCGGUAAUACGGAGGAUUCAAGCGUUAUCCGGAUUUAUUGGGUUUAAAGGGUGCGUAGGUGGUUUGAUAAGUUAGUCGUUAAAUCGCGGGGCUUAACCUCGCAAUGGCGAUUGAUACUGUUGAACUAGAGAGCAGUUGCGGUAGGCGGAAUGAGUAGUGUAGCGGUGAAAUGCUUAGAUAUUACUCAGAACACCAAUUGCGAAGGCAGCUUACCAAGCUGUUUCUGACACUGAGGCACGAAAGCGUGGGGAUCAAACAGGAUUAGAUACCCUGGUAGUCCACGCCGUAAACGAUGCUAACUCGUUGCUGGCGAUACACCGUUCAGUGACUAAGGGAAACCGAUAAGUUAGCCACCUGGGGAGUACGACCGCAAGGUUGAAACUCAAAGGAAUUGACGGGGGCCCGCACAAGCGGAGGAACAUGUGGUUUAAUUCGAUGAUACGCGAGGAACCUUACCCAGGCUUGAAAGUUAGUGACCGCUGCCGAAAGGUGGCUUCUCUUCGGAGCACGAAACUAGGUGCUGCAUGGUUGUCGUCAGCUCGUGCCGUGAGGUGUCGGGUUAAGUCCCAUAACGAGCGCAACCCCUGUCGUUAGUUGCUAACAGGUAAUGCUGAGGACUCUAACGAGACUGCCCGGUGUAAACCGCGAGGAAGNNGGGGAUGACGUCAAAUCAGCACGGCCCUUACGUCUGGGGCGACACACGUGUUACAAUGGAUGGUACAAAGAGUUGCAACAUAGCGAUAUGAAGCUAAUCUCAAAAAGCCAUUCUCAGUUCGGAUUGCAGGCUGAAACUCGCCUGCAUGAAGUUGGAUUCGCUAGUAAUCGCAUAUCAGCCAUGAUGCGGUGAAUACGUUCCCGAGCCUUGUACACACCGCCCGUCAAGCCAUGGAAGUUUGGGGUGCCUGAAGUACGUGGCCGUAAAAGGAGCGUCCUAGGGCAAAACAGAUAACUAGGGCUAAGUCGUAACAAGGUAACCGUA